This 75-nucleotide transfer RNA is filed under the name Streptomyces sp. ISL-43. RNAcentral describes it as "tRNA-Gly". It matches the Rfam family "tRNA". From Rfam's summary of the family: Transfer RNA (tRNA) molecules are approximately 80 nucleotides in length. Their secondary structure includes four short double-helical elements and three loops (D, anti-codon, and T loops). Further hydrogen bonds mediate the characteristic L-shaped molecular structure. tRNAs have two regions of fundamental functional importance: the anti-codon, which is responsible for specific mRNA codon recognition, and the 3' end, to which the tRNAs corresponding amino acid is attached (by aminoacyl-tRNA synthetases). tRNAs cope with the degeneracy of the genetic code in two manners: having more than one tRNA (with a specific anti-codon) for a particular amino acid; and 'wobble' base-pairing, i.e. permitting non-standard base-pairing at the 3rd anti-codon position. The record is from RNAcentral. Lineage: Bacteria; Bacillati; Actinomycetota; Actinomycetes; Kitasatosporales; Streptomycetaceae. RNAcentral also lists the same sequence under 1 other name.
GCGGCCUUAGCUCAGCCAGGCCAGAGCCUCGCAAUUCCAACGCGAAUGUCAUCGGUUCGAAUCCGAUAGGACGCA